RNAcentral lists this ribosomal RNA (446 nucleotides) under uncultured bacterium. Its description in RNAcentral is "bacterial SSU rRNA". It matches the Rfam family "Bacterial small subunit ribosomal RNA", at positions 329 to 792 of the family's 1533-position model. The record is from RNAcentral.
CACCAGACUCCUGCGGGAGGCAGCAGUGGGGAAUAUUGCACAAUGGGGGAAACCCUGAUGCAGCGACGCCGCGUGAGCGAUGAAGUAUUUCGGUAUGUAAAGCUCUAUCAGCAGGGAAGAAAAUGACGGUACCUGACUAAGAAGCCCCGGCUAACUACGUGCCAGCAGCCGCGGUAAUACGUAGGGGGCAAGCGUUAUCCGGAUUUACUGGGUGUAAAGGGAGCGUAGACGGUCCUGCAAGCCAGAUGUGAAAGCCCGGGGCUCAACCCCGGGACUGCAUUUGGAACUGUAAGGCUAGAGUGUCGGAGAGGCAGGCGGAAUUCCUAGUGUAGCGGUGAAAUGCGUAGAUAUUAGGAGGAACACCAGUGGCGAAGGCGGCCUGCUGGACGAUGACUGACGUUGAGGCUCGAAAGCGUGUGGAGCAAACAGGAUUAGAUACCCCCGCA